AACGAACGCUGGCGGCAUGCCUAACACAUGCAAGUCGAACGAGACCUUCGGGUCUAGUUGCGCACGGGUGCUUAACGCGUGGGAACCUGCCUUUAGGUUCGGAAUAACUCAGAGAAAUUUGAGCUAAUACCGGAUGAUGUCUUCGGACCAAAGAUUUAUCGCCUUUUGAUGGGCCCGCGUUGGAUUAGCUAGUUGGUGGGGUAAAGGCCUACCAAGGCGACGAUCCAUAGCUGGUCUGAGAGGAUGAUCAGCCACACUGGGACUGAGACACGGCCCAGACUCCUACGGGAGGCAGCAGUGGGGAAUAUUGGACAAUGGGCGAAAGCCUGAUACAGCAAUGCCGCGUGAGUGAUGAAGGCCUUAGGGUUGUAAAGCUCUUUUACCCGAGAUGAUAAUGACAGUAACGGGAGAAUAAGCUCCGGCUAACUACGUG
RNAcentral lists this ribosomal RNA (433 nucleotides) under uncultured bacterium. RNAcentral's name for it is "partial 16S ribosomal RNA". It matches the Rfam family "Bacterial small subunit ribosomal RNA", at positions 29 to 507 of the family's 1533-position model. The record is from RNAcentral.